AGGAUGAACGCUGGCGGCGUGCCUAACACAUGCAAGUCGAACGUCCUGUCUCGCAAGAGGCAGGGAGUGGCGGACGGGUGAGUACCACGUGGGUCAUCUACCGUGAGGUGAGGAAUACCGGCGAGAAAUCGCCGACAAGACCGCAUAGGCUCGAUGCAAGUCGAGCAAAGCUCUUUCGAGAGAGGGAGCGCCACACGAGGAGCCUGCGCCCGAUUAGCUAGCUGGUGGAGUAAUGGUUCACCAGGGCGACGAUCGGUAGCUGGUCUGAGAGGACGAUCAGCCACACUGGGAUUGAGAACGGCCCAGACUCCUACGGGGGGCAGCAGUGAGGAAUUUUCGCAAUGGGGGCAACCCUGAACGAGCAACGCCGCGUGCAGGAAGAAGGUUUUCGGAUCGUAAACUGCUUUUCUCGGGGAAGAGAACGGACGGUACCCGAGGAAUCAGCCCGGCUAACUACGUGCCAGCAGCCGC
RNAcentral lists this ribosomal RNA (471 nucleotides) under uncultured bacterium. RNAcentral describes it as "SSU rRNA". It matches the Rfam family "Bacterial small subunit ribosomal RNA", at positions 26 to 518 of the family's 1533-position model. The record is from RNAcentral.